UUCUUUGUUGUUUCCCUCUGCGAAGUGCUAACGCGUUAGCUAGUGAAGGGGUGAUAAUUCUUCUAAACGCGUGCGUCUUUGAGAUUUUCUGAAUCGAUCAUCGUCGUUCCUACUUCUGGGUUCUCAUUGGUGUUUUUGGAAGCGUAUUAUGACCUAAUUAUCGCUUUCGACUCUGAAAUUUCUAGGGUUUGAUUUUCUAAAUUGGUUUUGUCUUCUCGUCAGAUUGUGGAGGAUACUAUCUAUGAUCGAUCGGUGAUUGAGGAGAUCUAUCGAAGGUUCUUGGAGUGUAGAAGCUACUGAGAAAUUCCAAAGGGAGUCUGGACCAACCAAAAGUAUCCUUUUUAUGAUUCUUGUUUUUUGAGUUUUUCUGACCUCUGUUUUGUUGGUGUGUUUGAUUUAAUAUUCUCGGUGAAUACUUUUUGUUAAUCAGCUUGAAGAAGACGACGUAGUUAUGGAUUAGAUAUUUUGAUUGGAGCCACAAUCGGUUUUGUUGCAUCAGGCUCAAGGAUUGUCAAUUUUUCUCAAGACUACCUGAGAAAGGUUUCGGUGGACAUGAUGACGACUUGCUUAAAGCGCAACACCAUUUAUGGUUCAAACACCCAUCCUCCCACGAAAGGGAAAGGGUUUCUGCAGUAGCGUCUUUAGCACUUGGGAUAAAAUACAGAGGGUAUCAAAGAAGGAUGGUAUGAUGGAGGGGGCAUUGCCUUUGCAGUGAUUCUUGUCACAGCUCUCAGUGACUCCAAACAGCCUCUCCAGCCUCAUAACCUGAAUGAUGAAUAGAGAACAUACAUCUGGAGGUAUAUAUUUGCACCAAUGUGACAAGAGGUGGAAGACGAGUGAAAAUCUCAAUCUAUAACAUUGUGGUGGGUUAUGUCAUACCUCUCGACAUUGGCAAUCAGGUUCCUGCGGAUUGAGUGCUAAUAUUUGCAUGACUGGAGAGAGCAAAAUGGUUAACAAAGACUAUCUAACAAGGACCCAUUCGUAUUUUCUGGCUGUAAAGUGGCAUAUGGAAAUGGUGUUAUGUUGAUGUUUUUGGAAGCGAAUCAUUAUCAGAUCAUCUCUUUCGAUUCUGCAAUUUCACCUUCUUCUAGGGUUUGAUUUCUAUAUCGAAUUAUUGAUCCGAACUUCUUAUUCGCUUCUGAUUUUUCACUUUUCUAUUCAUGUUAAUCCAGAUUGUGGAAGGAUAAUACUAUUGAUCGAUUUUUGAUUGAGGAGGAGGGUACUAAGAUAUUUCGGUUUUUUUUCUUUUUUUUUCUCUCAGGUUGGUGAGAACCCAACAACGUCUGGCUGAGGAGAUUUUGGAAUUACUCCUGAACAGCUUGUCAUAUUGUUUUCAUAGGAUCACAAUAUGGAGGGGCCUCAAGGAUUGUCAUAUUUGCUUAGGACUACCAGAGAAAGGCAUCAGUGGAGAUAAUGAUGAUGAUUUGCUAAAGCGCAAGACAUGGUUUCUGAGGUUUCUUUCGGAUUCUUGCCAUGAUCUCACUUUGAUGGUUUCUUUCGGAAUCAGGUUCCUGCAGAUGGAGUGCUAAUACUUGGGAGGAUGACUGGAGAGAACAAAAUCGUGUUAACAAAGAAGACCCUUGGCAGAUGGAAAUGGUGUUAUACUGGUUACUGAUGUUGGAGACUUGGAGUCAAUGACUUGGGGAUUGCUGAUAGCCUGAAUUUCUGAAGACAAUGGUGAAGAAACUCCCUUGCAGGUGCGCUUAAUUGGGGUAGCUACCUUUAUUGGUUCCAUUGACUUGGCAUUCGCUGCUACUGUGCUAGUGAUUCUUCCGACUCGAUAUUUCACCGGUCACACUAAAGAUGUAGGUGGAGGUCGUCAAUUUGUUAAAGGAAAGACAAAAACUGGUCAUGUAGUUGAUGUCAAUGUGAUCAAAGUUGUUACCGUAGCGGUUACAAUUGUCGAAGUGGCAGUUCCUGAGGGUCUUCCAUUGGCUGUUAACCCUUGCCUAUUCAGUAAGGAAAAUGAUGGCAGAUAAGGCUUUGGUGCGGAGGCUAUCUACUUGUGAGACAAUGGGUUCUGCCACCACUGCAGCGAUAAAACUGGAAGUUGAAUCAGGAUAUGUAGAUGUAGAGCUGCUGAGAAAUUCCAAAGGGAGUCUGCUAAGUCUGAGCUCCCCUGAUGCACAAGGUGGUUUAUUCAGAUCGUCGUCGAGUCGAGGCACUGGGACUGCUCUGUUGAAUCUUAUCUUCUCGUUUAUCAUCAUCUGUUUAGGCAGGUUUCCAUGUAUUUGUGCAUCGGGAGUUUUGUUAAUCAAGUCUACAACUUGGAGCUUCCAUCAUUGGUUGAUUCAGUUUAUUGGGUAUUCAAGAGGCUUGAGUUGCUCACUGGUUGCCUCAAGGACUGAUCUCAUUUGUCUACUCGUAGUCAGAUGAGAGAUGAUCAUAAGUUCCUUUUAAAUGGGUUUGUAAGUAUUUUUUUGUUCUUUUCAUGAUGGUUAUGUUUACCAAAAUAGUUUCGGUAUUGAGCAUCUUCAAGUCUUUUAGGGCUGUUCAAGUCUGAGCUACUCUUAUGCAGAAAGCUGCUUGGAUGUUCUGCAAUCUGUUGAUUCAUCCUUUCUGGAUUUUGAAGUGUGUUUCCCUUAUUGAGUUUCACAUGAUUGGUACUUUUCAUUGGAUGUUUCCCGUCAACAAUAAUGUUUCUCAUCUUCCUAUCUAUGCACGCAUUUUUUCUUAGGCCUGAUCUUCUACUAAGUCUUUAUCAUAGAUAUUUCAGUAUACUACUUGGUCUCUUAUUUCUAUAUCCAUUUUGGUGUGCUGCAUCUAUUCCUAGUUUAUUUUUUAUAAUCCUAAUUACAUAUGCUUGUGAUUGUAGAUUCUCUUUAUAUGAAUUACUUCCCUUCAAUAUAGGUAUGUUAAUAUGGGCGCAAAGGAAGAAUUCUCCUUUUAUAUAGAUACAUGUUGUGUUUUUUUGUCUUUUCUGUUUUCGUUAUGUGAUCUGUUUUCCUUCCCCGUAUCUGUUUAUGCCUUUCUGAUUUCGUAGUCUGCAUAUUCUAUGUUUAAUGCUAAUCACUUCUGCUGGAGAUGAAGUCAGUAUUUUGCAUAGGAGUUUGGAUGUUACAUAGUGGAGGUUCUGAUUCGUCCUGCUUGCCUACACUCCCCUGUAUCUUUACAUCAUGAGUUUGUGAGGUGGUUUUCUAUGUUUGUUACUUCUAGUGUAGAUUGCCGAGGAAGCAUAAACUAAAAGUUUCAAGCUUCUGCGUGGUUGUCCCAAUAGGGAUGAAACUUAGAGCUUUCAUCUCUGGUGGAUUCAGGGUAUGAGCUACUAUUCUUAUGUGGUUUGAUUCUUAGGUUUCUUUGGCUUGUGAUUGUUGUGUCACUGUUUUUGAGUUACUUCACAUUGUUAUAUUUUACUGGGUAUUCAAGAAAACUGAGCUUCCACCUCCUCAGGGUUGCCUCACGUCUCAAUUGACGGUUUCCCAUCCUCUCUUCCUUGUUUCUGAUUUUACAAGGACAUCUUUUUUUUCUUUGAUCUGACGCUGUUGACUUUUUGUUGCAUUGUCUUAUGCUGCCCACUGUUGGUCUAUAUUUCCAGCAAGACAAGGUUAAGUUGAAUGUUCUUUUGAGUUUUGUCACUUUUCUAUUAAAUGGUCUCGGGGGAUUAGUUGGCCAGAAUGGUUGAAGCUCUGUAGAUUUUUUUGUUGGUUCUUCCACACUAGUUGUUAGUGUUGGUCAUGGUGUAUGUGUGUUAGCGUUGUUGAUGGUAAGCGCGGCAUCAGAUGUCUUGGCAUUAAGAGAAUUUGGUUGGAAACUUGGAAUGAAUGUUGUGAUUCUGGGGAAUUUAUGGUGUCCUAGUGCCUAGUAGUACAUGUACAUAUAUUAAAAGGGUUUUCUGUAGACUUUUUUUUAAUGGGUUCCAGGCGAGGCGAGGCUUAAUGUUUAUGGAUUCUUCUUACGGAUGCUCCCAGGUUAAUCAGUGGAAAUCGAGAACAUCACCUCCUUACUUCUGGUGAAGAGGUCGAUUCCAUAUGUUGGAGAAAAAAAGAAUCGGGUUCAACAAGUUGUUGGAUUUUUGUUUUUUCUCUCUUAGAGGAACAAAUGUUUUACUAAUUUCCACGGUGCUUCAAUGGCUAAAUACCAUAGUGAAAUUUUAUCAUUCUAGUGUGGAAUUCAUUCACGGUCUACAAGAAAUAUAAUGUUGAAGCCAAUAGCUUGGAAA
Molecule: non-coding RNA, 4159 nt
Organism: Camelina sativa (false flax)
Lineage: Eukaryota; Viridiplantae; Streptophyta; Magnoliopsida; Brassicales; Brassicaceae
Source: RefSeq, a predicted model, not a curated record